UUUCAGUAAGAUUUUAGGUUGCAGCCUGCUGGAGCACAGCAGGUGAAGUUGAUGUUCACUGAUUACAAUCAGCUGCAGACUCUGGUGAAAAAAACUGUGAACUGUCUCACUCUUCAUUUACAACAAAGACGGCGUCAUCGUUUAAAUGAAACAAAGCAGCAGAGUUUUCCAGUGUUGCUAAUGCUAUCAGCUAACAUGCUGUUUAACUUGUUAGCUAGCAGUGAUGGUGGGAAGGUACAGAGAUCCGUCAACAAACAAACAAAACAGCAUCACAGCGAUAAGAAGCAGUUCACCUUCAUGAAGGGAAGAAGAAGAGCUUCAGAUGAUGCUUAGCUCCAUCACACACUAUGUAGCCACGAGGCCACGCCCCCUACUGUCGCUGUCUGUCACCAUAAAUGAACUCGACACCACAGACGAACACUGACCUGUAACUGUGUCCUGAUGUGAGCGGUCAGCAGCUGAGUCUUACCUUAAGUGCUCCAGGACACGUUGAUGAAGGCGGGAUUCUCAUCUUAAUAUUCAGGCCUGACGGAUCUCUUCCUCCUCCUCCCUCGCUGGCAUUUCUGCAGUAAUAUUAAAGACAGAGACAGCUGGGGUUGUUCUUCAAACACAGCUUCAUUUUGCAGUUGAGGAACACGCCGCUGUCACUCCCUUUAAACUGGAA
This is a long non-coding RNA of Thunnus maccoyii (southern bluefin tuna), 664 nucleotides long. RefSeq lists it as uncharacterized. The record is from RefSeq and is a predicted model, not a curated record. NCBI's taxonomy places the organism in Eukaryota, Metazoa, Chordata, Actinopteri, Scombriformes, Scombridae. The transcript is spliced from 3 exons.